This 291-nucleotide ribosomal RNA is filed under the name uncultured microorganism. RNAcentral describes it as "partial 16S ribosomal RNA". It matches the Rfam family "Bacterial small subunit ribosomal RNA", at positions 505 to 796 of the family's 1533-position model. The record is from RNAcentral.
GUGCCAGCAGCCGCGGUAAUACGUAGGUGGCAAGCGUUGUCCGGAAUUAUUGGGCGUAAAGCGCGCGCAGGCGGUCCUUUAAGUCUGAUGUGAAAGCCCACGGCUCAACCGUGGAGGGUCAUUGGAAACUGGGGGACUUGAGUGCAGAAGAGGAAAGCGGAAUUCCACGUGUAGCGGUGAAAUGCGUAGAGAUGUGGAGGAACACCAGUGGCGAAGGCGGCUUUCUGGUCUGUAACUGACGCUGAGGCGCGAAAGCGUGGGGAGCAAACAGGAUUAGAUACCUGGUAGUCC